CUGAAGCGUUCUUUCCCGAGUGGACGCGGCCAGGGCGUGGGUCUCUGAGAACGAGGUUUGCAGUCCGGAAAAGUAAAGACACGUACAAGUUAUGGAGACAAACGUGUCCUUACUAAGCUCUUCUAGAAUGGACGGAUACCGCCCUCCCCACACACCUCACAUCUCCAUAGCCACCCUCUCACAUGGUAGGUGCCUCACACACCGAGCGCGCUUAUUGGAUGAACGAUGGCAUGGUUGGAGGCUGAGGGAGUAUCGCGAAAUACGUCAGUGCCUCACGUUCAAAGAAUUCACACGCCACUCGUUUGUGGGAACCUUCUGGGUAUUCUCUUCGGCUCUCUCCCAUUUUGCCUAGUAAUUUAUUAGUCCCAUAAAACAUUAACAAAAUAAUUUUUGAGCCUGGAUCGUUAGCACACCACUCAGCACUGGGACGGCUGAGGCAGGAGAAUGGCAAGUUCUAGACCGGCAUGACUACUACGUAGGAACACCUUGGCUCGAUGAUGUUAAUUUUUAGUAAAAACAUUGGCAUUGAUCUGAGUAAGUUCUCUCAAACAAAAUGUUUAGGAAAAUGAUUGUUUUUCUUUCUGGAGAGUAGGGUUGUGGCUUCAAAAGAACACCUUAAGCAAGCCAAGCAGAGGUCACUGAAGAAUUUCACACACAGGACAUGGUUUAACGAGUCUGUUUAAAAGGAAUACUGAAGAGCAACAGACGGCGUCAACACCCUUAUAAAUGUAAGAAAGAGGGAGACAAAGGACCACACUGACUGAAUCCUAGUUACUGCCUCCAGGAUCCUGCUUUGAAUUCCUGCCCUGGCUCCUCUUAGAGAUGUAAGCUGGAAUGCCUGCCUCCAAGUUGCUUUGGUUAGUGUGCAAUCACAGCAAUAGAAAGCAAACUAGAACAACUCCCUCCCUCCCUCCAUCCUUCCCUCAAACUUGACUCCCUUCUGCAUCAUCGUGUUUAUUUAUUACAAUCAGAACUAAGUUUGAGCAAGGCAGCUGGAAAAAGAAAGUGCUCUGUCAGAGAGACUUAGGGCCAAUGUGCUGUCUACUUUUAUGUCAGCUUGACACAAGCUAGAGUCAUCUGAAAGGAGCGAACCUCAAUUGAGUAAAAUUGAACCUCCAAAAGAUCCAGCUAUAAGGCAUUUUCUUAAUUUGUGAUUGAUGGGGGAGAGCCUAGCUCAUGGGGGCAGUGCCAUCCCUGGCAUGGUGGUCCUGGGUUCUAUAAGAAAGCAGGUUGAAGGCCGGACAUUGGUGGCGCACACCUUUAAUCACGCCUUUAAUCCCAGCACUCGGGAGGCAGGGACAGGCAGAUCUCUGUGAGUUUGAGGCCAGCCUGGUCUCCAUAUUGAGUGCCAGGAUAGGCUCCAAAGCUACACAGAGAAACCCUGUCUCAAAAAACAAAAACAAAAAACAAAAACAAAAAAAGAAAGAAAGAAAGCAGGUUGAAGCCAGGUGUAAUGGUGCAUGUCUUUAACCCAGCACUCAGGAGGUAGAGGCAGAUGGAUCUCAGUGAGUUCGAGUUCAACCUGAUCCACAGACCUAGUUCCAGGACAGCCAUGGCUACACAGAGAAACCCUGUUUCAAAAACAAACAAAAAGAAAGCAGGCUGAAUAAGCCCUACUCAGCAAUCCUGUAAGCAGCACUCCUCCAUGGCCUCUUCAUCAGCCCUGCCCUGUUGGGGGUUCCUGCCCUGGCUUCCUUCAGUGAUGCACUUAGAUGUGGAAAUGUAAGCCAAAUAAAUCCUUUCCUCC
RNAcentral lists this long non-coding RNA (1747 nucleotides) under Cricetulus griseus (Chinese hamster). RNAcentral's name for it is "lncRNA (ENSCGRG00015033245.1)". The record is from RNAcentral. Lineage: Eukaryota; Metazoa; Chordata; Mammalia; Rodentia; Cricetidae.